Molecule: RNA transcript, 5902 nt
Organism: Nerophis lumbriciformis (worm pipefish)
Lineage: Eukaryota; Metazoa; Chordata; Actinopteri; Syngnathiformes; Syngnathidae
Source: RefSeq, a predicted model, not a curated record
UUUGGUCAAAAAUGUCAACACUGAUUAUGAGAAUAGAUGGAUUUUUCUUUUACGGAACCGUUUCGGUGUGAAGCAAAUAUUCAAUUUUUUAAAAGGAGGACGGCUUCUUUUUGGAUUAUUCUGCACCUUUGGGCUUUUACUCUGCAGACUGUAGAUUAGUCAUGUAACCUUUUAUCAAUUUAAUGAAACAACUGUGAGCUUUGUGGGAGAAGUCUCCAGAAGGUUGGCAAUUCUCUUUGGCUUUGAUUGAGACAACCAUGACACAAUGAUUUCCUAUGUGGAGUGUUUGGGUGGAGAAGGUGCAGGGCCCGGGGUGGCAUCUCGCUGCUGGAAUUUGGGGCCCGAUGAGGAGCUGGAUGAGCUUCUUCCACGCAAGAUGGCAACCCUUCAGCCGAAGACACAGGGCAGUCUUCGGCGACGUCUGCUGAGCGCUAAAAUCCAUCAACACCAUGAAGCUAUUUGGAGGAGUCACGCAGAUAGCGCCGGAUGGCCACCCGCAGGCCACGAGAAGACCCUCCCUCCUCAUUCUCAAUAUUGCGGCCCCUGGUUGUAUGCCCAGCACUGCACACCACGACCCCAAAUCCACGCAACCGUCUCUUCACAGGCUCACAAUAAAUUCUUCUUAACUCCAGAAGUGAAUGAAAAGCAAAGUCUGCCAUCCCAUCAGGUGCCUCGCCCUGCUCUCGCCCAGUGGCGCCGGACAAGCUUUUGCCCUCCCAGCCCACAGCCCCGACCUGGUUAUGACCGUCCUGGCUCCAGACCUCAGACACUAACGCCACCUUUCAGGAAGUCAGACAUGCCGCCUCAGGUCCACUACCAUCCUAGCAGGAAGUGCAAGAACAAAUUAUUCUGCUUUAAAAAGCAGCAAAGCUCCGAGCAGGAAGCCACACCUCUUUUACACAAAGCAGGGGAUGGGGACAAGUGGCCUGUUCACUACACUACCCAGAAUCCUAAGCAGGGUGUGCUCUUCAUCCCUGAAAAAAUAAGAUCCAGUGGUCCUGUGGACUUGCAAGUACAUUACGGACUAACCCAGAAUGGAGGCAGCAUACCGACCACCUCACUUCUCUGCAACUCGGCCCCUGACUUCUGCACACCCUCUGGAAUCCACCAAUCAGAGGGCACUGUGCGCAGACGCUGGUGGGACAAAAGCAGAAAGAUGAGGUCCACAUUCUGGGACUUUCUCUCUCAGUCGUGCUUUUCUGUUUGUCUCAAGUUGUCUGUUCGGAGGAGAAAGUCCUCAGUGUCCUCAUAUGAAGAGGAAACCAUCAUGGACAACAACACGCCACCUCUUACCCCACUUGUUCUCAACCCUGUUGAUCUCACUGCCUGUUGGAAUAUCUUCACUUGUGAGCUGGAGCUUGGAAUGAAAACGGAGGUGACUGCUCGACUCCCAACCCCAGAGGAGAAGAUGAGGCAGCAGGCAGAGGCCAUCGCUGCUGAAAUAGUUCCUAUCAACAUUACAGGUGAGAAUUUUGAUCGCCAGGCCAGCUUUCGAAAAGUAGCUUCCAACACUGACUCCAUGUAUUGCGGCUCUCGGAACCUAAGCUGCCACAAGACAGUCACCAAGAUCCCUGUUGAUGCUAUCCAAAAACAAGACUUACCUGAGGGUCAGUCUUCUACAGAUGCCCGACUUGACUCCUCCCCCGGCCAACAGGAAGAAGAUGAACUCGCCAGGAAGAAGAAAGAGUCGUUGUCAAGAAAGAUCCGAGCCCCUAAAGGGCAGGGGAUAUCCAGUCUCAUGGCAUCCCUCACCUUGCCACGUGUCAACUCAUAUCAUGGCCUUGUCCUCUCCUCUGAGGUCCACAGUCUCCCCUGCAUGCCCACCAACUCCUCCUUGUACUCAGACGACAGCUGUGACAGCGUCUCGUACAGUACACUUAGCGCCUCCUCUUCCUGUUCCCAGGGAUUCCCCAACGACCAUCAGCCCGUGCUUCUCUUUGACCCCAUCUCAAGGGUCAUACCUCAGUCUCCUUCUUUAUCCAUUUCUCCCUCACAUCUCAGCAGCCCUGCCAAUCCUCAGAAGUGUGGGAGGUCUUCCCCCUGUGAUCAGGCUAGCCAGUUUCAAGAUGCAGCCCACAGCCACCCUAUUUCCUCCUCCAUCACAGUGUCUCAGGAUAGCUGUCUGACCCUUUCUGUCUGCAGCAGCGGUUUUUUAUACCACAGAGAAGAGUGCUUCGAGCCCACAUUUUCCAGCAUACCAGCUGGUGGCAACUGGAGUACCAAUGACCAGGAGACAAGUCCAGUUUCCCUAAUCUCCUCUGGUUGCGCUUCCCCUUGUAGCAUUGAUGCCAAUGCCGUGGUUUCUGAGGAUGUGACCCCAUCUACUUUGCAGACUCGAAGCAGAUCAUCCAGUACCUCCUCUUACCGCAGCAUCUUGCUUCGCAGGUCCAAGCGCCCACCUCCCCCACCUUUACGGUGCGACUCCCUCAGGCAUCAAACUGACCGCAGAAAGGCAUCUCGUCCAUUAUCCAGCCCCUCUCUGGAGCAAAGCUCUUCAUCAUCACCCCUGACCUCCCAUGAUCCCUGGGUACCAAGGAACCACACCAAACGCUUCCAAAGCGAGCUGCACAGUGGCUCAGUCACUACCUUUGAACCUUUAGCUGUAGACCGCCAGGCAGCUUCAUCAACCGCUGACCACCCUGCCCUCAUCCCUGGUUCUCCAGUCUCAAAAGAGGAGAGGGUCAAAUCCUCUGUUAUCACCAAUCCAGCUGCUUCUUCAAUCCCAAGCCUUCAACAUCAAUCCAACACUCCCCCUUCAGUCACCCCUAUCUCUUCUCUUGUCACAACAAGCCCAGGAGCCUUCUCUCUUCCCCAAACGUUCUUUUUCUCCCCCGGUUGUGCAUCCUCCAUACCCCUGUGUCCCAAAACAUUAAAAUCCCAUCCACCAGAGAGGGAGUCAUCUCUAUCCUCUCCAUUUUCUUCCACCCACUCCCUAUCAUCUUGCACCUCCUCUGACUUAUCUACCAAGUAUAUUCACACCCCUCCCCACUUUCUUCCGGCUCCUCCUCCUCUACCACCUUUAACUCUUACCCUUCCUCCUCCUUUGUCUCCACCUCUGCCACCUUUAUCUCGUACCUCUCCUCCUCUGCCACCUGUGUCUCCUAUUCCUCCUCCUCCGCCUCCUCUGCCGCCUACACCUCACCCCACCCCUCUAUUACCAUCUUUAUCCCGUCCCCCUCUUUGCUCACUUUCAUCUUGCAGUUAUUCUACUCUUUUUCCUUCACCCAUUUCUUCUUCCCUUUUGCCAUCAUCAAUUCUACCACCUACACCUUUUCCACCUCCUCCCCCUCUUCCUCUUACUUUCGCUGCACGGCCCCCUCCUCCUCCAUACUCCCAGUCCUCCCAUUAUGCUGCGCCAUCAAAGACAGUAUCAUCAACCCACUCUCCUCCUCCUUUUCCUGCUGCUAUCCCACACUCGUCUAAGGGGUGGUACUCUCUUUCAGACAUUAGUACAUCCCCCAAAACUUGUGUGAAAGGGUUAAACCUACUCCCAUGCCCCCUCGUCACUUCACAGGCUUUGCAGGGUGUCAAGCUUCGGUCCAUUACCAACCAGGAAGUUCCAAACCAAUCCAGUACCCCGCUUGUUGACUCCAAAGUUGUCUUGUUGUCAAGCAGCUGUGCUAAUGCUAAUAUUAACAGUCAUACAAAUGCUUAUCAGCAUGAUAUGAAAUCAGACGCAGCUUCUUAUAGCUUGGUCUCUACUGAGUCAAAGCAGCCUGGACUAUUGCCAUGUCCUGAAUUCAUGCCUGCAAAUGAGUCUCUUUACACUUCUUUCCAUAAUGCUUGCCAAGAUGGUCAGUCAGAACAUCAUAAUGAGGAGGGAGAUGGCAAAACAGUCAGUGAUGUAAAGCUUUAUCCAGGUGAGGCUGUGAACUUGAAGACAAAGACUGCUCUUCCAAACAAGCCAGACCUUAGCAUUGUUGGGGUAAUGGCGUCUCCAGAGUCCAUAGGAGGUCUGACAUCUGAUUUUGUGACAUGGAACCAUAUCACAUGUACCACGGUGGACAAAAUGGCACACAAACCUGACGACAUCUGUACGGUGUCACCUCCUGGUUCACCUCUUAUUCUACACAGAAAUCCAGAUCUGCCACUCCACAAUGAAUCAUUUCUACAGAACGUUGGCCCAAUGGGUACCAUUAAAUCCACAGAAUGUGUCACUGCACCCACAGGUAACACAUUUCACGGUGACACCUCACAGAGCAAUCAUAGCUGCCAGUCCUCAAGCAAGAUGGGCACGUCACCAUCCUCCACAACCAGGGAAACUCUGCACUCCGGUGAUGGUACCACGAUAAGGCCAUGCUGCACUUUAGAGAUAUUAAAAAAUCGUAGCACUUUAGCAUUCCAAACCAGUGUAGGGAUGCCACUUAGGCAAGAAGUGGACAGACAAUGUCAUGGUAAGAAGAUGAAGUUGUCACCAUUUGGGAACAAAGAAGAUCAGAAAGACCGACAAACACAAGAACAUGCCAAAUCAUGGAAGAGGACAGCAAGUAGACGCCUGUUGAUGACAUCAUUAGCUAGGAGUUCCUCCUCCUCGUCCUCAUCAUCAUCAUCAUCAUCGUCAUCCUCAGAUGAAGAGAUGGAAUCCCAGCUGCUGACAAAUGAGAGCUGCUCUCUGAGUAGUGUGCUGUCCCGAGACAACCUGCAGGGUUCAAUGCCAGAUCUCCUCAUUGAAGAGACAGCGGAGAAAGAGGAGGAGAGUGCCGCCAAGAUGAUGGAUACUUGCAAGCAUUUUGAUGCCAGUAAGUUGAUUGAAAGUGGAGCACAAACAACUGAGGACCUGUUCACUGUCAUUCACAGCACUGCAUUAUGGGAAGGAAUGGCUUGAUGGGCAUGCUGGUUGAUGUUUGCUGUCGAAGCAGAAGAUGUUUGGAAGACGACUCUUUCUGAUGAUUUCAGCCGACCACCGACCUCACCCGGUGGCACAAGCUUUGACUUUGGGAACGCUCAAAAGUCAGAGAUCAUCAAAGAGUGAAGGCCUCAAGGCGCUACUGCUGAGGAAAGGGAGUUGAACAAACUCACCCUCUGGGAUGUUGGCUGUGGAGCGCCCUGGUGCCUUUGGCCUUAAACAAGCCAACGUUCACACCACACACUUGUUGGAGACCUUGUGUCAAUCCACUCUUGAUGUUCCACUGAGACAUUUGGGCAAUGAGGAUGCAAAGCACGAUGUGUUCCAAGCAGAAGACGUCAAACGUCAGGUUUUACUCUUCAUUUGGGUCAAGGAGAAGGAACCGCAGCCACUUUACUGUCGGAAACUUCACCCUUUGCUUGCUUAACAGAAUUGCUCUGGCGACAUCCAGUGGACACAUUUAGACCAGCUGUUUCUUUCAUUAAAAAAAAAUGUUUUUUUACUUGGCAAACUCAUCACGCGGACCGGAUCAAAUGUGUCAGUGAGCCCGUGUGACACCUCUGAGGUCAAGGGAAUAGAAGGUCAUGUGUUUGGUGCUCACAUGCCCUUGGGAUGCAGAUAUUGCCUAAAUAUAAGGGAAUUUAGGAUAUGGAAGUCCGAGACUACAGAAGGAUUACAAUCAUUUAAAGGGGAAUUCCCUAUUUUUGACUUAGAAAUGUUAUUCUGCAGUGUUGGAUACUUGUGGUGGACAAUGUCAGAGCGUCCAAUCGUAAAGUUCAUGCAGUUUUGUGUUUUGCAAUCAUGUUGUGGCCAGCAAAUCUAUUUAUUGUUUAUCAAUGUCUUUUCCAACGUGACUAAAAAAUAAAUAAAUAUAUAUAUAUAUUUAUAUAUACAUCCAUUUUCUACCGCUUGUCCCUUUUGGGCUCGCGGGGGGUGCUAGAGCCUAUCUCAGCUGCAUUUGGGCGGAAUGCUGUGUACACCCUGGACAAGUCACCACACACUAGGGACCAUUUAGUGUUGCCAAUCAACCUAUCCCCAGGUGUAUGUCUUUGGAGG